This 433-nucleotide long non-coding RNA is filed under the name Arabidopsis lyrata. RNAcentral describes it as "long non-coding RNA (ALYR_LNC002655)". Lineage: Eukaryota; Viridiplantae; Streptophyta; Magnoliopsida; Brassicales; Brassicaceae. The record is from RNAcentral.
CGAAUUUUUACGAUCAUAAUCACAAUUUGCAACAAUCCAUCUGUUAGUAUCAAGCAUGCACCCUCAUUGUAGUACUAUGUAGAAUCAGAUUACUCAAGCCUCAACUAGGAGUCUCAAAAUCAAAAACACAUAUUGGCUCUAAUAUUCAGGUAUGCAUACACAAUUAGUUUCUGACUGCAGUCUUUUUCUACGAAUCUAUCUUGCAGCUUUAUAACAUAUAACAUACUUAGCACUCUGAUAAAGGAAGUCAGAACUUACCAGCAAUAGCAUCGGUUGCUUUGCGAAUAGCUUCAGCAAUGUGCUCCUCGUCAGUUUUAUCAACUUUAUUCUUACCGUACAGUUCGUACUCAAGCCAGAUCUCAGGUUCAAAGCUAGAGCUCUGCUGAAGCCUCAUCACAAGAGGAACCCUAGUGCAGAUUCCUUCCCCGCGAGG